This 484-nucleotide ribosomal RNA is filed under the name uncultured bacterium. RNAcentral's name for it is "partial 16S ribosomal RNA". It matches the Rfam family "Bacterial small subunit ribosomal RNA", at positions 30 to 507 of the family's 1533-position model. The record is from RNAcentral.
AUUGAACGCUGGCGGCAGGCCUAACACAUGCAAGUCGAGCGGAUGAAGGGAGCUUGCUCCUGGAUUCAGCGGCGGACGGGUGAGUAAUGCCUAGGAAUCUGCCUGGUAGUGGGGGAUAACGUCCGGAAACGGGCGCUAAUACCGCAUACGUCCUGAGGGAGAAAGUGGGGGAUCUUCGGACCUCACGCUAUCAGAUGAGCCUAGGUCGGAUUAGCUAGUUGGGGGGGUAAAGGCCUACCAAGGCGGCGAUCCGUAACUGGUCUGAGGGGAUGAUCAGUCACACUGGAACUGAGACACGGUCCAGACUCCUGCGGGGGGCCGCAGUGGGGAAUAUUGGGCGAUGGGCGAAAGCCUGAUCCAGCCCUGCCGCGUGUGUGAAGAAGGUCUUCGGAUUGUAAAGCACUUUAAGUUGGGAGGAAGGGCAGUAAGUUAAUACCUUGCUGUUUUGACGUUACCAACAGAAUAAGCACCGGCUAACUUCGUG